GUUACAGACAGUAGUGCCUCGAUUAGUAUGAUUGUUUCCUCACACUUCCAGCGUUGUGGGUUUGAAUCCUGCAACUGCUCCAACUGCGUAGGUUUCCAGUUAAGUGGUUGGAAAUGUAUGGAAAGAUAACAGAGCUGCAUCAGUGAGACCGCCGGAAGCUUUCCAGUGGCGGCUGAACACACCUGUGGAGAUGCGUGGGGAUGCUGAGACAGGCCGCUGCUUAACGGGACUGAGACCAUAAAGGUCAUAUAUCUGAGCAAAGC
Long non-coding RNA from Brienomyrus brachyistius, 263 nucleotides. RefSeq lists it as uncharacterized. Lineage: Eukaryota; Metazoa; Chordata; Actinopteri; Osteoglossiformes; Mormyridae. The record is from RefSeq and is a predicted model, not a curated record. The transcript has 3 exons.